UGUAGGUUAAGUUGCUAAGGGCACACGGUGGAUGCCUAGGCACAAGAAGGCGAUGAAGGACGUGAUAAGCUGCGAAAAUCUACGGCGAGGUGCACACAACCUUAGACCCGUAGGUGUCCGAAUGGGGCAACCCAACCCUGGUAAUGCGGGGUUAUCCUAUUAAUAGGAGGCGAACGAAGGGAAGUGAAACAUCUAAGUACCUUCAGGAAGAGAAAACGAAGUGAUUUCCUUAGUAGCGGCGAGCGAAGCGGAAAGAGCCUAAACCUUGGUGUAUUUAAGAGCCUGUAAGCGUUGUACACCUGGUGUAGUGGGGUUCAUACUCUAAGAUGUUACAGCAUCUGGGUGAAGUCAAAAAUCUACAAGAUAGUCAAAGUGUCUGGAAAGUCACACCGUAGAGGGUGAUAGUCCCGUAGGCGAAAUUUUGUAGACUUCAUGGUAUGGAAACCCGAGUACCACGGGACACGAGAAAUCUUGUGGGAAUCAGCCCGGACCAUCGGGUAAGGCUAAAUACUCUCUUGUGACCGAUAGUGAAUUAGUACCGUGAGGGAAAGGUGAAAAGCACCCCGGGAGGGGAGUUAAAAGUACCUGAAACCGUGUGCCUACAAUCAGUUGGAGUCUCGGCAUGUCCGGGAUGACAGCGUGCCUUUUGCAUAAUGAGCCAGCGAGUUGCUCGUACGUAGCAAGGCUAAGUCUUUCAGAGAUGUAACCGUAGCGAAAGCGAGUCUGAACAGGGCGAAUUAGUUACGUGCGGCAGACGUGAAGCCAGGUGAUCUACCCAUGUCCAGGAUGAAGCGGCAGUAAGAUGUCGUGGAGGUCCGAACCAGGAGAUGUUGAAAAAUCUUUGGAUGAGAUGUGGGUAGGGGUGAAAGGCCAAUCAAACCUGGAGAUAGCUCGUUCUCCCCGAAAUAGCUUUAGGGCUAGCCUCGAUUGAAAGUGUCACGGAGGUAGAGCACUAAUAGGGUUAGGGCCCUCACCAGGGUACCGCCCCCUGUUAAACUCCGAAUGCCGUAGACAUGUUUAUCGGGAGUCAGCGUGUGUGGGAUAAGCUUCAUACGCGAGAGGGAAACAACCCAGACCGUCGGCUAAGGUCCCCAAGUUACAGUUAAGUGAUAAAGGAUGUUGAAGUGCUUAGACAACCAGGAUGUUGGCUUAGAAGCAGCCACCAUUUAAAGAGUGCGUAAUAGCUCACUGGUCAAGCGCUUUGGCGCCGAUAAUUCUCGGGACUAAACUGUACACCGAAGCUGCGGAUUUGAACUUUUGGUUCAAGUGGUAGGGGAGCAUUCCAUUAACCGUUGAAGGUGCAUUGUGAAGUGUGCUGGAGGAGAUGGAAAAGAGGAUGCUGGCAUUAGUAGCGAUAAAACAGGUGAGAAACCUGUUCGCCGAAAAUCUAAGGUUUCCUGAGUAAAGUUAAUCUGCUCAGGGUUAGUCGGCCCCUAAGCCGAGGCCGAAAGGCGUAGGUGAUGGGAAACGGGUUUAAUAUUCCCGUACCAGCUUUAAUUUGUUUGAGCGAUGGGGUGACGCAGGAGUGAAAGGUCAGCCACCUGACGGAUGGUGGUUUAAGCAUGUAGGAAUGGUGUGUAGGCAAAUCCGCACACCUUUAUUCUGAGGUGCGAAUAGGAGUCCCUAGGACAUAAACUGACCCUAACCAUACUGCCGAGAAAACCCUCUAAGUGAGAUUUAAAGCUGACCGUACCGUAAACCGACACAGGUAGAUGGGGAGAGAAUCCUAAGGCGCUCGAGUGAGUCCUGGUUAAGGAACUCGGCAAAAUGACUCCGUAACUUCGGGAGAAGGAGUGCCCAGGCCGGUUAAGAGAUUUACUCUCUGAAGCUGGCUCGGGCCGCAGUGACCAGACCCAAGCGACUGUUUACUAAAAACACAUGUCUCUGCUAAGUCGUAAGACGAUGUAUAGGGACUGACACCUGCCCGGUGCCGGAAGGUUAAGGGGAUAUGUAAUUUUCUUCGGAAAAGAAGCAUUGAACUGAAGCCCCGGUAAACGGCGGCCGUAACUAUAACGGUCCUAAGGUAGCGAAAUUCCUUGUCGGGUAAGUUCCGACCUGCACGAAUGGUGUAACGAUUUGGGUACUGUCUCAACCAGGAGCUCGGCGAAGUUGUGAUGCCGGUGAAGACGCCGGCUUCCCGCAACGGGACGGAAAGACCCCGUGAACCUUUACUACAGCUUGAUAUUGUAUUUUAGCUAAGCAUGUGUAGGAUAGGUGGGAGACUACGAAAUGCCAGCGCUAGUUGGUGUGGAGUCGUCCUUGAAAUACCACCCUUGCUUAGUUGGACUACUAACCUGCCCGUCUGAAUCGGCGGGAGGGACAGUGUCUGGUGGGUAGUUUGACUGGGGCGGUCGCCUCCUAAAGUGUAACGGAGGCUUCCAAAGGUUCCCUCAGCACGGUUGGUAAUCGUGCGUAGAGUAUAAAGGCAUAAGGGAGCUUAACUGCGAGACAUACACGUCGAGCAGAUGCGAAAGCAGGGCUUAGUGAUCCGGCGGUAGUGAAUGGAAAUGCCGUCGCUCAAAGGAUAAAAGGUACUCCGGGGAUAACAGGCUUAUCACCCCCAAGAGUUCAUAUCGACGGGGUGGUUUGGCACCUCGAUGUCGGCUCAUCGCAUCCUGGGGCUGGAGAAGGUCCCAAGGGUUUGGCUGUUCGCCAAUUAAAGCGGUACGUGAGCUGGGUUUAGAACGUCGUGAGACAGUUCGGUCCCUAUCUGUUGCGGGCGUAGGAUAUUUGAGGGGAUCUGCUCUUAGUACGAGAGGACCGGAGUGGACAAACCUCUAGUGUACCAGUUGUCUCGCCAGGGGCAUUGCUGGGUAGCUAUGUUUGGUGUGGAUAAGCACUGAAAGCAUCUAAGUGCGAAGCCCAACCCAAGAUGAGAUAUCCCUGUCCGAUUUAUCGGACCUAAAGGCGCCUUCGAGAUUAGGAGGUUGAUAGGCUGUAGGUCGAAGUGCAGUAAUGUAUGAAGCCGAGCAGUACUAAUAAGCCGUGAGGCUUAACCUUUUUUAUUU
This 3008-nucleotide ribosomal RNA is filed under the name Calditrichota bacterium. RNAcentral's name for it is "Calditrichaeota bacterium 23S ribosomal RNA". It matches the Rfam family "Bacterial large subunit ribosomal RNA". Lineage: Bacteria; Pseudomonadati; Calditrichota. The record is from RNAcentral.